CGCGGGGCUGCGGGUGGGGCCGCUGAGGGCGGUGGCCGGGAGAGGCCCCGCUGUGGGCUGAGGUGAAGCUCCAUGGGCAGAGGUGUUCAGGAGUGCACUUGAUGCCUUCCAGCCAGGUGGGUGCUCAGUGGAACCCAGCGAGGACAAGCCCAGUAACAGGAUGUGGUCAGCUAGGACAUCAGGCCCGUGGACCAACUACUGGAUUCUCCAAAUCUCCCACCAGGCCUCGUUGUCGAAGCCUCGGUGAUUUGUUAUUCAGAAGGAGAAGCCCUGCUGUAGCCUCCUAAGGAGAUGAUUCGUGGUUGGUGGCAGGCAGUCAAACCGAACGUCUGAAAUACAUGCUCACAAGUCUGCCAAAAUUCCCAGUUUAUGGUUAGAUCUUCCCACAGUACUGUGUCAGGAGUGUAUCACGUCAUCCUUAGCUGGAAGAAUAACUUGAAGGGAAUUUAAGUAGAGAUGUGCUGCUGUAGUCUGAAGAGUGGUAAAUGUGCUACCGGUGUUCGUACUCCACAUAUAGUCAAUGGCUUUUGCAGUCCUCAGUUGGUCCCCUCUGCCUGUACUGAUUCAAAGACAGAAUAGAAUCAUAGAAUCAGAAUGAUUAAGGUUGGAAAAGACCUCUAGGAUCAUCUAGUCCAACCACCAACCCAUCACACCAUGCCCACUAACCAUGUCCCUCAGUGCCACAUCCACACGUUUCUUGAACACAUCCAAGAAUGGUGACUCCACCACCUCCCUGGGCAGCC
RNAcentral lists this long non-coding RNA (743 nucleotides) under Gallus gallus (chicken). RNAcentral describes it as "long non-coding RNA NONGGAT001046". Lineage: Eukaryota; Metazoa; Chordata; Aves; Galliformes; Phasianidae. The record is from RNAcentral.